GAUUCCCCUAGUAACUGCGAGUGAAGCGGGAAAAGCUCAAAUUUAAAAUCUGGCGGUCUUUGGCUGUCCGAGUUGUAAUCUAGAGAAGUGUUACCCGCGUUGGACCGUGUACAAGUCUCCUGGAAUGGAGCGUCAUAGAGGGUGAGAAUCCCGUCUUUGACACGGACUACCAAGGCUUUGUGGUAUGCUCUCAAAGAGUCGAGUUGUUUGGGAAUGCAGCUCAAAAUGGGUGGUAAAUUCCAUCUAAAGCUAAAUAUUGGCGAGAGACCGAUAGCGAACAAGUACCGUGAGGGAAAGAUGAAAAGAACUUUGGAAAGAGAGUUAAACAGUACGUGAAAUUGCUGAAAGGGAAACGCUUGAAGUCAGUCGCGUUGGCUUGGGAUCCACGUCCCUUUUGCGUGGUGUACUUCCUAGUUGACGGGUCAGCAUCAAUUUUGACCGCUGGAAAAAGGUUUGGGGAAGGUGGCAGCUUAGGCUGUGUUAUAGCCCCUUGUCAUAUACAGCGAUUGGGAUUGAGGUACUCAGCACGCCGCAAGGCCGGGUUUCGACCACGAUCGUGCUUAGGAUGCUGGCAUAAUGGCUUUAAGCGACCCGUCUUGAAACACGGACCAAGGAGUCUAACAUGCCUGCGAGUGUUUGGGUGGAAAACCCGAGCGCGUAAUGAAAGUGAAAGUUGAGAUCCCUGUCGUGGGGAGCAUCGACGCCCGGACCAGAACUUUUGGGACGGAUCCGCGGUAGAGCAUGUAUGUUGGGACCCGAAAGAUGGUGAACUAUGCCUGAAUAGGGUGAAGCCAGAGGAAACUCUGGUGGAGGCUCGUAGC
Molecule: ribosomal RNA, 821 nt
Filed under: Coprinus comatus
Lineage: Eukaryota; Fungi; Basidiomycota; Agaricomycetes; Agaricales; Agaricaceae
Description: eukaryotic LSU rRNA
Rfam family: Eukaryotic large subunit ribosomal RNA
Source: RNAcentral